RNAcentral lists this ribosomal RNA (388 nucleotides) under uncultured bacterium. RNAcentral's name for it is "bacterial SSU rRNA". It matches the Rfam family "Bacterial small subunit ribosomal RNA", at positions 29 to 416 of the family's 1533-position model. The record is from RNAcentral.
AUUAAACGCUGGCGGCAUGCCUUACACAUGCAAGUCGAACGGCAGCACGGGGGCGAACCCUGGUGGCGAGUGGCGAACGGGUGAGUAAAGCAUCGGAACGUGCCCUGGAGUGGGGGAGUAACGUAGCGAAAGUUACGCUAAUACCGCAUAUUCUGUGAGCAGGAAAGCAGGGGAUCGCAAGACCUUGCGCUCUGGGAGCGGCCGAUGUCGGAUUAGCUAGUUGGUGGGGUAAAGGCCUACCAAGGCGACGAUCCGUAGCGGGUCUGAGAGGAUGAUCCGCCACACUGGAACUGAGACACGGUCCAGACUCCUACGGGAGGCAGCAGUGGGGAAUUUUGGACAAUGGGCGCAAGCCUGAUCCAGCCAUGCCGCGUGAGUGAAGAAGGCC